Molecule: ribosomal RNA, 253 nt
Filed under: uncultured bacterium
Lineage: Bacteria
Description: partial 16S ribosomal RNA
Rfam family: Bacterial small subunit ribosomal RNA
Source: RNAcentral
UACGUAGGGUGCGAGCGUUAAUCGGAAUUACUGGGCUUAAAGCGUGUGUAGGCGGGUCGUUAAGUGUCUUGUGAAAUCCCCCGGCUCAACCGGGGAAUGGCUGGGCAUACUGGCGAUCUUGAGCAGUCUAGGGGCAGAUGGAACAAGUGGUGGAGCGGUGAAAUGCGUAGAUAUCACUUGGAACGCCAAAGGUGAAAACAGUCUGCUGGGGACUUGCUGACGCUGAGACACGAAAGCCAGGGGAGCGAACGGG